ACUGAUACUCUGUAUUGAAAGAGGCCUUUUAGGUACUGAAUUUUCUCCUCUUGAACAAAAGAAUGGCCGGGUAACUCUUCAUUGAGAAGUUCAGAGCCUUUUUCAACUGAAUUUUGUCACUAAGUGCUAAAAUAGAAGUCUUUAGAGACUUAAACCAUGUUGUAAACUCAAGAGCAAGACAUGUGGGUGUGGUCAUGGCCACACCUACUUUUUGACCACUCCCACUUUCAGCCACACCUUUGCCCUACUUGCACUGAAAUCCUGCAGCCGCCUAUGGUUGGGGGGGCUUAAGCCCCUCCUGCCCCCCCUGUUCCUACCCCAGUACCCCUAUGUCCUGGGCUACUAAUUCAACCUCCUGGGCUACUUAUUCAACCUCCCUGGCUACUUAUUCAACCUCCCAGGAUAUUUAUUCAACCUCCCGGGAUACUUGUUAGUAAGUAAGUUAUUUAUGCAAAUUAACCUGAAAUCAAGGUCAAGUACAACUAGGUAGAAAUAGACUAGUUUUAGUAAUCUAAUAAUUAUUACUCAAUAAAAUUCAUACCUCAGUCAUCAUUGGCUGUGCCCAAACAUGGAUCCAUGGCCCAAGAAAUAAAAAUUGCUUGGCACACUGAUCAAACACACAACACUGAGUCUCUCAUACUGCUACACUUUUCAUGAUUAAUCUUCUAACACAUUCAACAAUGGCGGAUCACUGAUUCACCCAAACAUAGAUGAAUACUAGAAACGGACCCAAAUUAAUGAAAUUAUGGAUAGAUCUAGUCUCGCAAGCCAGACCCAUGGACUAUUGGACUUACUUGGUCAGGUAAAAAGGACUUGCUAUGCCUGGACAUUCUACUCAGCCAAUUUAGUUGGAAUCUGGAUCAGGAUUGAUGCUGAAAUCAGUUCUGGAUGAUUGAAUCAUGCAUUUUGAUUUUUGGGCAAUCACUGAAUCAGUCAGUAUUGACUACAAUCAUCAAAAAUUUGCAGGCCACAAGAACUGUAGUAGUAGAGAAUCAGACUUGAUUCAUUCAUUUUGGGCAAUAUUUCUGAUAUUAUGUGUACAUGAUUCAAGAGGUUAUUCUCGAUCUAAAUAUCCUGCUAAAUGCUAAUCCUGAAGUGAUUUCAAAUUUUCAACUGACUCUUUAAUCUAUUGUGCUUUCAUUUUGGUGGACAGCGGCCAGUGAAGCUGGGGUCUCAAGGGUCUGAUACGGUGAUACCAUGAUACAAGUAACAAGCUCAGCAAGUGCAUGGUCUGUGUAAGAUGCUAUGAAUCAUGUGACUUAUCCAAAUAAUACAAAAUCUUACUCUCGCCAAUAAAUCAUCUUGUAUGACAUGUUGUGAUGUUGCUGGACACCUGAGCAAGAAUGUUCUUCCUGCUGUUCAUGUAGGUAGGGCAAAGCAAGACUUUAACACAAUCAUGAACAAAUACCGGUAGAAGCCAAAGUCAAGACUCAUCAGCAUCAGUAUUGGAUAAAAUGCUCUGUCUCUAACUUCUGUGAUUGGAAUAGCAUGGCUUGGUAGUGUUCUUUUCUUUAGGAAAGAGCUUCUCUUUAUUGCUUACAUCAUGACUGGUCAUUAUAUUUGUACUUUAUAUACCUCUCUCUAAAAACAGUUAAUAAUGCUGAUGGGUAUCUUUCAUUAUUACUUGUGUAUGUACAGAUGAGGGCAGCAAAAAAGCUAAUUCUGAAAUAAUUGGCAGUUUGUCAUUAAGAGCCUCAAACCUUCUACAUCCAUUUUCAUUUCAACAAACAAGUGUUUUUGUCACUAUUAAGGCUGAUCAAUAUUCACCAAAACAUUGUGAGAAUGGUUUGUCGUCAACUUCUUUUGUUUGAAAAGAGUACCAGUAAUAAUAGGUACAUCAAAUUAAUUCUUCUGAUACUUUGAAUAAAGCCGAACUCGAUCAGAUACCUGAAUCAAAGAGGAAUGAAAUGAGACUUUUAUCAUUGCAAGUGAAAUUGAUGAUGACUACCUUACAGUGGCUGAUUCUUAAAGUUGUGUAUUAUUAUUCAUUAUUUUAAAACUACUAAUUACAUUAGUUGUUCUGUAAUCAUGUUUUUAAAUUCGUGUUUGAAAAUUGAUAUAACAGAUUGUGAUGUCAUAGAUUUUAAAUCUA
This 2092-nucleotide long non-coding RNA is filed under the name Amphimedon queenslandica. RNAcentral describes it as "uncharacterized LOC109583613, transcript variant X1". The record is from RNAcentral. Lineage: Eukaryota; Metazoa; Porifera; Demospongiae; Haplosclerida; Niphatidae.